AUCCUUCCUGCCAGAAGAAACUUACAUUGGGAGGUCAACACCAGCUAGUGCACUUCUCUAUAAAGCCUCAAUGUAUAGGACGGAUUUCACAUGCCCAGAGGCUGUUGAGCAAGCUUCAUGUGCGCUGCAGUCAGAGGCCACCUCUUUCUUUGUGGGCCAGAUGGGUCCUUGAGUAAUUGCUGGAAUCCACAAAUACCAAACUAUGGCCAUUGAAGCUGA
Molecule: long non-coding RNA, 219 nt
Organism: Mandrillus leucophaeus (drill)
Lineage: Eukaryota; Metazoa; Chordata; Mammalia; Primates; Cercopithecidae
Exons: 2
Source: RefSeq, a predicted model, not a curated record